UACGGAGGGUGCGAGCGUUAAUCGGAAUUACUGGGCGUAAAGGGCACGCAGGUGGCCUAGACAGUCGGAUGUGAAAGCCCCGGGCUCAACCUGGGAACUGCAUUCGAUACUGCUCGGCUAGAGUAUGGGAGAGGGAAGUGGAAUUCCCGGUGUAGCGGUGAAGUGCGUAGAUAUCGGGAGGAACACCAGUGGCGAAGGCGGCUUCCUGGCCCAAUACUGACACUCAUGUGCGAAAGCGUGGGGAGCAAAUAGG
This 253-nucleotide unclassified non-coding RNA is filed under the name uncultured Gammaproteobacteria bacterium. RNAcentral describes it as "contains 16S-23S intergenic spacer region". It matches the Rfam family "Bacterial small subunit ribosomal RNA", at positions 524 to 776 of the family's 1533-position model. Lineage: Bacteria; Pseudomonadati; Pseudomonadota; Gammaproteobacteria. The record is from RNAcentral.